UUGCCGAAGAAAGGGAGAGCUCCUCUUGGUCUAUGAUUACAUGCCCCACGGAAGCCUUGAUAAACUCCUAUUUCACAAUGACACACCCAGCUUUAAUUGGGUUCAUCGAUAUCAGGUCCUCAGAGGAGUUGCGUCUGCCCUUCUUUACCUCCAUGAAGAGUGGGAACAGGUUGUUCUUCAUAGAGAUGUUAAAGCUAGCAAUAUACUGUUAGAUGAUGAUUUCAAUGGUCGACUAGGAGAUUUUGGGCUUGCUAAAUUCUAUGAUCGUGGGGCUAAUCCUCAAACAACCUGUGUGGUUGGAACAGUUGGAUAUAUCGCGCCAGAGGUUACUAGAACAGGAAGGGCCACUACCAGCAGUGAUGUUUUUGCUUUUGGCACUUUUAUGCUUGAAAUGGCCUGUGGAAGGAAACCUGUAGAGCCAGAACAAUCAGCAGAAAAGAUGAUUUUGGUUGACUGGGUUCUUGACUCCUGGAAAAUAGGAGACAUUCUUCGAACAGGUGAUCCAAGAUUGGAAGGUAAUUACGUGGUGGAGGAAAUGGAAUUGGUUUUAAGGCUAGGUCUGCUUUGUUCUUUCUCCACACCACAAGCUAGGCCAAGCAUGAGGAAAAUUUCGCAAUAUCUGGAUGGGAAUGCUAGCCUGCCAGAGAUGCCUCUUGAUGGUGCUAGCAUAGGUUUGAUGCCAGUUAGUCAUGAAGAGCCUGGGGAUUUCACCUUGUCUUUCCAUAGAUCUAAUGAUUACUCUGCUCAUUCCUUCUCUAGUACCGACUCAAUCCUCAGCUGUGGUCGUUGAAUCAUGGCUUAACGAGGUAAAAAUUCUUUAAUCUAAAGACUAACAGCUGGCAUGUGGAAGGUAGAUUGGAAUACUUAGAGGGUUACCUUGUUUGUGCAUACCAUAGUAAUCCUCAAAGCACAACAAAGACUGCUCCAUGAGGGGUUAAUUAAUUAGCAUACAAACAUAGGUAUAAUUUAUGAUUUAAGCAAAACACAUGGUUGAAAUAGUACAAUGUUUGAUGUACAAUGCUGGUCAAUGAUGGCCGUGUAGCUUCUUCCAUUCUCCUCAGUGCUCUAACCCCACCCCACAAUUCAACUCAACUAUGCCUCAUUCCCAAACUAGUUAGAAUCAGUUUCACAGAUCUUCCUUCUCCAUUCAUUUAGUCCUUGUUCCUUUUUUGAUAAAACUCUCCACUUACUUCUGUUAUGGACUCAAAUGAUUAAUCACCUAUGCCUACCUCGUUUUUACAUGGAAGGUUAAUUACAUAUUGAAAUAUUCUGACUUCUGAUAUAGUGAUCUGCAGAAGCAUAGGCUUCAGUCAACUUUCUAAAAUACAGAAAAUCCAACACCCAGUAUCAUCGAUUAUCCUAACUAGAGUGCAGUUCAGUGUGAUAUAGCUGCUGGCUGGGUGGUUUAUUCACAGACUAGUAGUGGAAUAAAAAAAAUGGUGAUAAGGUAUCUUGAUGCUGAUGUUAUACACACAUAUAACUGUUUUAAUCUUUCUACAAACAGUCAAGAUUGCAAAAACCACGUUCAAGGAAGAAAGAAGAUAUAGACAGCAGCUUUGUAGGUUGAAAAGGGAUUAAAACACCAGCCAAGAAAAAGUAAAAGAAACAUUGCAACAAAAUUUGCAAUAAGAAGGCAGCAAUAUUAAUAACCCUGCUUUCAGAAAGAGUGUACAUAGUCAAUUACCUAAUGAAAAGGCUAGAGAUGUCUGAUCAAUAAGUUUCCAUCAUUUCUCCUGGUUAUUGGGUCACAGCUUGUUGCAGAUGAGGCAGCGCAACCUCUUGGGACAGAGUACGUUCACUUGCUGUGCAGCCUUUCCUGCAUCCAACUACCCUUAGUGAUUAAACAGACUCUAAUUUAUCAAGCAUGGAGAUUAGUUGUAAUGAUCAACUUUAAUUCUAAUUUGGGUCCCUCAAAGAACUUACACAGAGCAAGGUAAACAUGAAGUGACUUGAUUCCAUCUUAGGAAAAACAAGCUCAUACUGGAAAAGAUUUAACAGACAUUAGCCUCCCCGAAAAAUACCACAAAAAAAAAAAAAAACAAAAACAAAAGGAAGUUGAUACAGAUGCAGGAUAGCCAUCAACGUGAAAAUUACCGGUACUGAUGUGUUCAUAUGAACUUAUGGUGCCCGUGUGAGCUUGGAAGAGAGAACCAACCACUCCCUUUCCUCCUGGUAAUAUCUUGCUGGUCACAGAGGUGUCAAAGGCAAGGACUGCAGCCAUGGAUCAACUGUUGUAGUGGCUGUGACUGACCAAAUCAGCUCACUAAGAUAAUCCGCCUAUAGGAAAAGAAAUGAAUCAGGGAAGGAUGAUCUGUGAGUGGUGUGGUUUUUAUUAUGAAAUAAAAGUUUGUUUUUGUAUUUUAAAAUGUUUUUUAAAAAUUUUAAUUUUGUUUUAAAUAAGUUUUUUUUAUGUUUUUAAAUAUGUUAAAAGUAAUUUUUAAAAAAAAUAUAUAUUAUUUUAAUAUAUUUUUAAACAAUAAAUACUUUAAAAAAUAACAUUAUUACACUAACAAAACAAAAUGAAAAAGCUUAAGAAAUAGCUAAUUAUCACUAAAAAGUGAAAGGGAGACAUCUUAAUGGCAAAGUGAUGGCUGAUGUGCCAAUGACAGCCAUGAAUACCACUUAUUGGGACUAUACAUAGACAAACAUCUGAUUGAUGAUGAUAGGCAGAGCUCAUGAAUAGCUUGAACCACAACCUUUUGAACAGUUCCAAGAUAUUUGAAAGUAUCUUGUGAGGUUGCAGCAAACUGGAUAAGCCACCCGUUCCGUCUUUUCCCUUUUGCAAGUAUCACAUGCUUAAUUGCUUACACAAACUAUUUAAAACUACUAAAGAAUUUUAAUAAAAGAAACGCCAGCUGAUUGCCAGUUUUGGCGAAACGUUCAAAAGGCUUUGGACAAGGUUGAAGUCGGAGACAAAUUCAAAGCUACAGUAGCCCUUAAUGCUGAUGUUUACAAAUCAUCUUCCAAUAACCCAUCUUCGACUGUUGGGAACGAGCCUUUCUUGUCAAGUUUUAAUAGCACUUGCGACAAUGUUACGUUUACGUUUCCACCAUUUCAAGACGUUCAUAAGGCUUAGGACAAUGAUGGAGUCAGAGACAAAAUCAAAGCUACAGCAGCCCUUAAUGCUGAUGUUCAUGAAUCAUCUUCCAACAAACAACCUGAUGGCAAUUUCCGUAACAACAUAAAGGAUGUCACGAUUCACACUGUGAAGUUCGUCAAAUUAAAGCUCAUAAUGGGAGAAGUUGGCUGGCCUACAGAUGGUAACAGUGCUGGCGAUUUGAAGAUCAUAAUGGGAGAAGUUGGCUGCCUACAGAUGGUAACAUUAAUGCCGACCCCAAAUUAGCUAAAACGUUCCAUGACGGUCUCUUUAAAGAAGGGAACCCCUGUCCGACGAGGUUAAUUGGAUGUGUAUCUCUUUGGCCUAAUCGAAGAAUCAGAAGAGCAUUGCACCAGGACAUUUCGAGAGACAUUGGGGGCUCUUUCGCUUCGAUGAACAGCUAAAAUUUCCAUGGAUUUAUCUGGACAAGGUGAUGAAGAGAUGCUAAUAGCAUCAUAUGGAGUCCAAUACAUGCCAUCUCAAUGGUGUGUGCUUGAUGAGGAAAAUAAGAACUUGACCAUGAUAAAAUUGAAAUCAGCUAUGCCCUGCUCUUUGGUCGUGAAUGUUGAAUAUUUAGAUAGCAUUUGGAAAUGCAGUUUUUUAAUUUUUUUAAUUUAAAAUUAUUUUUUUAUAUUUUGGAUUAUUUUGAUGUUAUGAUAUUAAAAAUUAUUUUUUAAAAAAUUAAAAUUAUUAUUUUUAUAUAUUUUUAUAUAAAAAGUAAUUUAUAAAAUAACAUCUAUCAUCUUCAAAUAUCUUCUUGCUAGAGCUCCGCCUUGGCAUGCAUGCCCACUAGGGGUGUUCACGGUUCGGUUCGGAUCGGUUUUUAUCAAAAAAAGUAACCAAACCGAAAUUUUUUUUUAAAAAAAAAAACCGAAACCGGUUCAAACCGACCGGUUUCGGUUCGGUUCGGUUCGGUUUUUUAGAGAAAAAACCGGUUCAAACCGGUUUGGCUCGGUUUUUCCGGUUUGGCUCGGUUUUUUCGGUUUGGCUCGGUUUGGCUCGGUUUUUUUCGGGUUCGGUUCGGUUCGGUUUUUCCGGUUCCAGGCUUAAAAAACCGAAACCGAACCGAACCGGUCGGUUUUUUCAAAAUUUUAAUCGGUUUAAUCGGUUUUUUUUUUCGGUUCGGUUUUUUUGGUUAUUUUUUUUCCGGUUUUCUCGGUUUAAUCGGUUUUUCGGUUUUUUUGAACACCCCUAAUGCCCACUACCCAUCUUUAUUAAUUGUGUCUAUGGUUUUGGUUAUCUUGUUUUUCUAUUUUUUUUUCUUGUAAAUGACAAGUUUCAUUAUGUAUUUUGUUUUUCAUUUAUAUAUGUUUUUAUAUUUUUCUCCAAAAUUUUAAAAUUAAAUAUUUAUUAUCAUAAAAUUUUAUUCUUGUCAAUUGUCAUAAUUCUUUGAAAAUUUUUGAAGCAUGUCAUUAUGCUUAAAGAUAUUUAAGUUUUUUAUUUAUAAAAAUAAAAUUACAUAUCUGAAAAUUUAUAUUUUUUUUAUUUUUACAAUCAUAAUUUCAUUUGAAUAAUUUAUAAUAAUGGUCGUAUAAAAAAAGAAUAGAUUAUAAUUAUAAAUUGUUUUAUAAAUGAGAAAAAACAUACAUUCAAAAAAGAUAUUAUGAAAUAUUUUUUGAAAGAAAAAACAAUUAAAGGUAAUUUUUUAAAUAUAUAAAGCACAAUUAAAUUUGAACUUUCUUGGAAGAUAAGCUAUAAAAAUAAAUUUAUUGAUCUUAAGAAUUAGCACAAGAAGAUUUAUUGACAAUUUAUCUUUAAAAAUUAAAUUUAUAGAUACUUCUUUCAACUUCCUCUUUCUCUUUCUAUUUUAAAGUUGUGUGGCACAAAAAUUACACGUUGAAGGAAAGAACGUGUGUAUAUCCUCUUUUUAAGUGUGUGUUUAGUAGUGCAUUAUAUGUUAUUUUUUAAAAGUAUUUUUAAUUUAAAAUAUAUUAAAAUAAUGUAUUUUUAUAUUAAUACAUUAAAAUUAUAAAAUAAAUUUAAAACAAAUAUUAAAUUAAUAUUUUUUUCAUAUAAAAAAUUGGCUUAACAAACAUUAUAAAAAAUAAAUCGAACCACAAAAACAAUAGCAGCCUUAAAUGCAACCAAACAUGCUUAAAGCAAGCAUUAGGUUUUAAUAAUAAUAAUAAUAAUAAGAAGCGAGCAAGGGUUGCAUACCCGAGCGAUGAUUGCAGACCCAGUUUCCAAACCCUCACCCCUAAGCUGCAGACCCACUUGCCAAGGUUUGCAGAACCCCGCGCUUGGGGUGUGCAGAACUAGGAGCGGGGUGUAGACCCACCCGUCUGGGUUUCUUCUAUUGCGCCUGAGGUCUGCAGACCCCCCAGGAGUUGUAGAACCCGUAGAGAAAAUUAACAAAUUUGAAAAAAAAAUGAAAACAAAUAUAAUAACUAAUAACAAUUAUUAUUGUUAUUGUUAUUGUUAUUAUUAUUAUUAUCGUAAAUAAAUUUUAUAAAAAUAUUAUUACUAUAAAAACUUGGACUAGACAAGUUUAAUAUUAUUAUUAUUAUACUAAAUAUUAUUGUUAUUUAUUGUUGUCAUUAGUAAAUUGAAAACAAAAUUAUUAUUUAUUGUUAUCAUUUCAGGUGGGGUUGAAUUUCCUUAUUAAAACAUGUUUUGUUUUGGUUUUUAAAAAUGCUUUGAAACAAAUUUGACAAUUUUUUAUUUUUUUCAUUACUUCAAAUUAAUAUUUUUUCUUUUAAUUCAUAUUAAGAUGUUUUUGUAUUAUUUUGAUGUGAUUAUAUAAAAAAUAGAUUUAAAACAAUAAAAAAUAUUAUCUCAAUAUAUUUCAAAAAAAAUAUUUUAAGAUAUUUUCAAUUUUAUUUUUUUCCCUCUUCAAAUAUUUUUUUCUCUUAUUGAUUUUUUUCAUACUGUAAAGAGAAAAUAAAUUAAUGUGACUUUUUUUUAUAUUAUACAAAAGUUGGGUGAUGAUAAUUUUUUUUCAUUUCAAGUUGGGUUGAAUUUUCUUAUUAAAGUAUGUUUGGUUUUGCGAUUCAAAAAUGGUUUGAAAAAAAUUUAAAUUUUUUUUAUUGUUUUCUUUACUUCAAAUUAAUAUUUUUUAUGUUUUUAUAUUUUGUUUUUAAAUAUAUUGAGAUUGAGUCUGGUUGCAUAGCCACACCAAAAAGAAUAUAUUAAGUUGGGUCCUAUCCAGCAGGACCCAAAAUAGCUUUGGGUCCAGCCGCCGCUGGACCCAUCAGCCUUGGGUCUUGUCCCUAACAGGAUCCAUCAGCGUUAAGUCCUGCUCCUAGCAGGACCCAUCACUAUUUUUUUUUUUUUCUUUUCUAUUGGGUCAGGCAUUUUCUUCCAGAACCAAGAAACUUGGGUAAGAAACGACGCCUCACCCAAGGAGCUUGGGUGUGGCUAGGCACAGACCCAAAUCCAAAUCCCUUUGGUCUUAAAGACCCGCCUGGCCCAAGAUUAUUGGUCCUUCGUCAGGACCUAAGGCUAAUGGGUUAUGCGUCAGGAAUCAAGGCUAAUAGGUCGUGAGUCAAAACCCAAUGUUCUUGGGUCCUGUGUCAGGACCCAAUUUCCUUAGGUUAUGUCAGGACCCAAAACUAAUGGAUGUGACAUCAAGACCCAAGAUUCUUGGAUCUUAGAUUUCUAAAUAUAAUUAUUUAUGAUAUAAAUAUAAUUAUUUUUAUUAUAAUUAAAAGUACUAAUAUUAAAAAUAGUAUUAUUUGUGAUAUAAAUAUUACUAUUUUUAAAAUAAUUAAUAAAUUUGAAAAACAUUAUUAUCAGUAUUGAAAAACAACUAUAGAUUUCAUUUGAAGUGUAAAAUAAUUAAUAAUAAUAAUAAUAAUUAAAUUUUAAAAAAAUAUUAUUAUUAUCGAAGAAAAAACAUAUUUUUUUUAAGAUUAAAAAAAUAAAAAAUUUGGCUGACAAGUUAAAUAUUAAUAUUAAUAUUAUAAAUAUUAUUGUUGGAUUUAGCGUUGCAGCCAGACGCAACGCUCAUGGGUUCGUCGUUGCAGCCAAACUCAACACUUUUAGAUCUUAGAUUUUUAUUAUAUCUUUUUAUUAAAAUAAAAGGUGAGCCCGGGCCGUAGUGCGGGCAAAUAAGAAAAAUGAAAAAAAUAUCAAUUAUUAUUAUUAUUAUUAUCGUUAAUAAACUUUUUUAAAAACAUUUUUACUAUAAAAAAUUUGGCCAGACAAGUUCAAUACUAUUAUUAAUAUGAUAAAUAUAAUUAUUUGUAUUCUAAAUAUUAUUAUUUUUAUUAUAAUUAAAAGUAUUAGUGUUAGAAAUAUUAUUAUUUGUGAUAUAAAUAUUAUGAUUUUUUUUAUAAUUAAUAUUAUUAAUAUUAAAAAUACUAUUUUUUAUUAUAAAUAUUAUAAUUUUUAUUAUAAUUAAUAUUAUUCUUAUAAUAAUUAAUAAAUUUGUAGAAAAUAUUAUUAAUAUUGAAAAAAAUAGAUUUAAUUUGAAGGGUAAAAUUAAGAAUUAUUAUUACUAUUAUUGUUGUUGUUAUUGUCAUUACUAGAUUUUAAAACAAAAUUACUAUUGUCAUAGAAGAAAAGCAUAAUUAUUUUUUAAAAGAUUGAAAAAUAUGAGAAUUUGGGCAGAGAAGUUAAAUAUUAUUAUUAAUAUUAUAAAUAUUAUUAAAUUCAUUAAUAUUAUUACAAUAAAAAUAAAUAUUAUUGCUAUUAAAGAAAACAUAGAUUUGAUUUGAAGGGUAAAAUCAAUUAUUAUUAUUGUUAUUGUUAUUGUUAUUAUUGUUAUUAUUAUUAUUAUUAUUAUUAUUAUUACUAUUAUUUUCUUCACUUCAAAUUAAUAUUUUUUCUUAAUUCAUAUUAAGAUGUGUUUGUAUUAUUUUGAUGUGAUUAUAUAAAAAAUAUAUUUAAAAAAAUUAAAAAAAUAUUAUCUCAAUAUAUUUUUUAAAAAUAUUUUAAGAUAUUUCCAAUUUUAUUUUUUACUCUCUUGAAAAAACAUUUCUUUUUUCUUAUUGAUUUUUUUUUCAAACUGUAAAAAAAAAUUAAAUUAAUGUGACUUUUUUUAUAUUAUACAAAAGUUGGGUGAUGAUAAUUAUUUUUUCAUUUCAGGUGGGGUUGAAUUUUCUUAUUAAAGCAUGUUUGAUUUUGGUUUUCAAAAAUGCUUUGAAAAACAUUUGACAAUUUUUAUUUUUUGUCUUUACUUCAUAUUAUUAUUUUUUCCUUUAAUUGAUAUUAAGAUAUUUUUGUAUUAUUUUGAUGUGAUUAUAUAUAAAAUAGAUUUAAAAAAUAAAAAAAAUUAUCACAAUAUAUUUUUUUAAAAAUAAAAAAUAUUUUAAGAUAUUUCCAAUUUUAUUUUUUUCCCUCUUGAAAUUUGUUUCUUUUCUCUUAUUGAUUUUUUUUUAUACUGUAAAGAGAAAAUAAAUUAAUAUGACCUUUUUUUAUAUUAUACAAAAGUUGGGUGAUGAUAAUUUUUUUUUUCAUUUCAAGUUGAGUUGAAUUUCAUUAUUAAAGCAUGUUUUGUUUUGCGUUUUAAAAAUGCUUUGAAAAAAAUCUGAAAUUUUUUUAUUGUUUUCUUUAUUUUAAAUUAAUGUUUUUUAUGUUUUUAUAUAUAUUUUUAUUUUGUUUUUAAGUAUAUUGAGAUUAGGUCUGGUUGCGCAGUUACAUCCAAUGAGAAUAUAUUAAGUUGGGUCUUGUCCCGAGAAGGACCCAAAAUAGCUUUGGGUCCAGCUGCCGCUAGACCCAUCAGCAUGGGUCCUACCUCUACAAGGACCCAUCAAUAAUUGUUUUUCAUUUUUUUUUUCUUUUCUCUUGGUUUGGGCAGUCUCUUCCAGACCCAAAAAACUUGGGACAGGAAAAGGAGGGCACACCCAAGGGAGCUUGGGUGUGGUUAUGGAGUAGACCCAAAUCCCUUAGGUCUACAACUCCGUUUGACCCAAUAUUAUUGGUCCUUCUUCAGGAUCCAAUUUUUUGGGUCCUGAGUUAGGACCCAAGGCUAAUGUGUCCUGCGUCGGGAUCCAAUGCUCUUGGGUACUGAGUCAGGAUCGAAUUCUCUUGGGCUGUGUUAGGACCCAAAGUUCUUGUGUCCAUCAUCAGAACCCAAGGCUAAUAAGUUCUGCAUUAUGACUCAUGGUUCUUGUGUGUUAGGUUUCUAAAUAUAAUUUUUUGUAUUAUAAAUAUUAUUAUUUUUAUUAUAAUUAAAAGUAUUAAUAUUAAAAAUAGUAUUAUUUGUGUUAUAAAUAUUAUUAUUAUUAUUAAAAUAAUUAAUAAAUUUAAAAAAAAUUAUUAUUUGAUUUGAAGUGUAAAAUUAAUAUUAUUAUUAUUAUUAUUAUUAUUAUUAUUAUUAUUAUUAUUAUUAUUAAAUUUUAAAAAAUUAUUAUUACUAUGAAAGAAAAACCAUAAUGUUUUUUUUUGAAAGAUUAAAAAAAUAAAAUUUUUGACAAACAAGUUAAAUAUUAUUAUUAAUAUUAUAAAUAUUAUUGUUGGGUUUUGCAUUACAGUCAGACUCAACGCUCUUAGAUCCGAUAUUACAGCCACACCCAACGUUUUUAGAUCUUAGAUUUUUAUGAUAUUUUUUUUAUUAAAAUAAUAGGUGAGCCCGCAGCAUUACUCUUACGUAAAAAUUAAUGAGUUAAAAUUGAAAAUGGGUUUGGAUUUCCUUAAUUUUACCCUGGAUUGGAUUAUGUGAAAAAAAAUUAAAAAGUUACCCUAAAUUUUAUAAGUUUAUAAUACUUUAAAUUAAUAAAAAAAAUUAAAGUAUUAUAAGUUUGUCAUUAUAUUAUAUGUUUCACGUCAUUUGGGUUGCCAUUGUCAAAACCAUAGUUAUUAAACCCGGCCCGGGGUUGACCCGGCCAAGAGGCCGGGUCCCGGGUUUCAUAGGUCAACCCGGAAAAAUUAAAAAAAAAAUUAAAGUUUUAAUAUUUCAUAUGAAAAAAUCCAUGUAAAUAUAAAUUAUACAUAUUGUAAACAAUGAAGUUUAAAAGAAUAUUUUAAAAAGGUUUUUAUCCCACAUAAAAAAAAUAUUAUGUUAAGUUUUUAAGUUGAAGUAUUUAAACUAAAAACGUUUUUUAUCCCACAUUGAAAAAACAUGAUUUUUUACUUGGGAACAUAAAGUAUAUAUAACAAUGGGUUUCAAAUCUCACAUUUAAAAAAAAAAACUGGAUCUCGUUCAAGUUUAUCCGGGUCGCCUGAGUCAUGAGUUGACCUGCCGGGUCACCCGGAUUUAGCUGUACUGUUGCCCCAACCAGUCUUUUACUAAACCAAGUAGCAGGGCCAAGUCCUCUUCCUUCGACAUCGAAGCUUCUAUAUGCUUCAAUGCUGUUGAAUUUGCCGACGGCUGUUUUUAAUGAUUCAAUAAUUUAUUAUGAAGAUUAAAUUGCUUGUCACUUAAUGUAAACGGUCUAAAUACAAAUUGCUUAUCGGGAUUCAAACAAUUUUAUCUUAAAAUAUUGCACUAUAAAUCAUGACCUAUAAAUAUUUAAAUUUUUUAAGAUUAAUUUUUUAUUUAUUUAUAAUUAAUUUUAAAUUUAUUAUUUUUUAUAUUAAAAUAAUUAAUUAAUUUGACAAAUUUGUUUAUUAAAUGAUUGUAUCGUUCUUCUGCAUAGAGUCAAAGAUGGCCACCUAGGAAGAACGUCGUUGAAAUGGAUUUUUCACCCUUCAAAUUAAAUUAAAUUAUAAAUAAAUAAAUAAAUCUCAGACACGUGCUUGACUAAGUUUAUUCAUUGGAAUGGUGCGUUCGCAGAUUUGCCCUUGCACUGAAAUAUUGAGGUCAAUUUAGUCUUUUCACGGGAUCCAAAUUAAUCUCAGACACGUACACUUACAAGCAAAAACAAUUAACUUGUAUUCAGGUGCUUUUUUAUCUUUUUAAACUGAUUUUUUUUAUUAUAAUAAAGUUAAUUUACAAGCAAUUUGAUUAUUUAAUAAAUCUAUUUAUAUUAAAAAAAACCUGGCACGUGGGCUUUUCUUAUGCUAUUUGUGUGGCUGGUACCAUGAUGUUUGGAAGGCAAAUAGUGGUUUUCAAGGCGGUGUUGAAAUCGUCUUGACAGUUCUUUCAUGUUUAGGUUACGCUUGUGGUCAACCAAUCUAAGAUUUAGUGCUAAUAACUUUCUUUUUUUCCUUCUUGAUUUCUGCACUUGACCCUCUGAAAUUUAAAACCAGCCUUUCAAAUUAUUUUUUCUUGGAAUUUGAUCUCUUUUCUUGUAAUUAUUAUUUGUUUUAUUUGAAAUAAUUUAUAGAAUUAAAAUUUUUUUCAACUUCAUCAUCCUUCAACUUUUUCAUCUAUUAAAUUUGGUCCUUAUUUAUUCAUUUUAGAUGGUUUUUAGAAUUAAUUUUUUUUCAUGAUUUUAUUCUCCAAUUUUUUUCUAUCAAAUUUUAUCCUCAUUUUCUCCUUUAUUUAAGCUCGGAUCUCUUUAGCUUCAUCAUUCGGUAUUUAUUUAAUAAGAGAUUAGACUCCGUUAUUUUUUUAUUUUAUUUCUAUAGAAACUUUCAUUGGUUAUGAAAAUAACGUGGGUUAUAUUGAGUCUUUUUAUUUGUUGCUCUUUGUUAAAUUUAGCUUUUUUUGAGAAAUUUAAUUUUUUAUUAAAUUAAAUUAAUUAAUUAAAUAUAAGCAUGAAAUGCUCAUUUCAUGAUAUUUUACUUGGUUUUAUUUCUGGUGAUAAGACGGUGUUCACAGACUUUUCCUUCAUUUGCUAUUGGGUCUUAUAUUGGUAACUCAUUUUUUAUAGUUAACUAUUGCAAAAAAAAAUUAUUUUAUUUACCGUUGAUAUCUUUUUUAAUCAUAUUAUUAAAUUAAUCAAGCUUAUUGAAUCAAGUCAAAUUAAUUACCUAAAUCUCAAAUUUGUUUUGCUUCUUUAAAAAUGUUGGCGCCCUUGAAUAUUUUUUUUUGUCAAUUUUUUUUUUAUAUAUCUAUUAUCAUUGUAUUUUUUUUACUCGUAUUAUUUAAAUUAAUCUAACUUAUUAAUUCCCAUAAAAAAUGACUGGAGUCUCAUUAACUUUUUAAAACAUUUUAGAAACAAUUGUGCCAUCUUAGCAUCUUUUUUACCGUUAAAAAAAAAAACUUCAGCCUAUGCAAGCCAUCCAUCUAGUUUCAAUCUAGUACCCCAUUUCCAUUGCUCAUAAGAAUCAGGCUUGAACAUCCUUUUAUUUUGGUUUAGAUAAAUUAAAGAAAUGCCAUUGCAGUGCUCUUUGUUACUUCAAUCUUCUUUUUACCCUAAACUAAGUAGAGUUCCUUCAACACUUUAAAUCUGUGAACAAACUAGGGAAUUCUGGAAAACCAGGUCUGAAUCUGGACACUUGCGCACCGCAUGUCCGAGCAACAGAGGUUUAAAACUAUUGAUUCAAUCUUCAAUAUUCAGUAAAAUGAUAAUUAUUUUGGAAGUCCAAUUAGUAAUAGAAUUUAUUUCUUGCCAUAGAAGAUUUUAGAAUUUUAUUUUCAUUGACCUUGUAUCCACUUUGAAAAGUAGUUUUCCCUAUUUUUUUCCAAGAAAAAGCUUUGAAGAAGGUUCGAAUGCGCCCAAGUCAUAGCAAUGUGACGAGAAUUGUUUAUAAUUCAGUCUUUAGACUGAGGAUUUGAAACUGUAACAACAAUUAAGGAGAAACUCGAAGCGAAAAAAGUUUGUUUUCUUUUACCAAUUAAUGUGUAACUGAAGAAGCAAAAGCAAUCUUCUGCACGUUCUUAUGAUGAUUGCAUCGUUCAAAUCAUUGCACUUUCUACUCGGCCUGUUUGUUUCCUUGAAGCUCUUGGCCUUAGCUCAAGAGGAAAACCACUUCAUCUAUCAUGGCUUCACUGGCGCCAACCUGCUCCUCAGCGAGAAUGCAAAAAUCGAUCCAAAUGGUCUCUUAGAGCUGACAAACACUUCAAAACGGCAAAUUGGCCGUGCUUUCUUCCCAUUCCCUUUUCAGUUCAACACAUCUUUAUUCAACAAUUCUCGGUCUCUCUCGUUCUCUACCCAGUUUGCGUUUGCCAUGGUCCCUGAGCUGCCUACACUUGGUGGCCAUGGCAUGGCCUUCACAAUCUCUCCAUCUGUGGACUUCACAGGGACUAUGGCAACUCAAUACUUUGGAAUCCUCAAUUCUACAAGCAAUGGCCUGUCUUCAAACCAUCUAUUGGCAGUUGAGCUGGAUGCAGUUCCAAGCCCGGAUCUUAAAGACAUCAAUGACAACCACGUUGGAAUUGAUGUAGACAGCUUGAUAUCCAUUGAAUCUGCUCCUGUGACCUACUUUUCAGAUAAGGAAAAGGAGAAUAAGAGCUUGACUCUCACAAGUGGUCACGUGAUGCACGUGUGGAUAGAUUAUGAUGAAGUAGAGAAGCUACUCAAUGUUACCGUUGCUCCUGUCACAAGAACAAAACCAACCUUGCCUCUCUUGUCAACAUCUCUCGAUCUUUCUUCUGUUAUGUUGGAUUCUAUGUACGUUGGUUUUUCUGCAUCUACUGGAGCAGUGGCUAGCAGCCACUAUAUUCUGGGGUGGAGCUUCAACAGAGGCGGACAAGCUCAAAGUCUUGACGCCUCAAAGAAAAUCCAGAAAGAAACCAUAUUUAAGAAUUCUGGUCCCAACAAUAACAGCAAUCAUUUUGCUGGUAGCAUUCUCUGGUGCUGCUUAUAUCAUAAGGAGGAAGAAAUAUGAAGAACUGCGCGAAGAUUGGGAACAGGAGUAUGGUCCUCAAAGAUUCUCCUACAAGGAUUUAUACAAAGCAACUACAGGUUUCACGGACAGGAAGUUGCUGGGAAGUGGAGGUUUUGGAAAGGUUUACAGAGGAGUAUUGCCUUCUUCCAAUAUGCAAGUCGCGAUCAAGAAAGUAUCCCAUGAUUCCAAACAAGGAACUAAGCAGUUUGUUGCUGAGAUUGCUAGCAUGGGAAGGCUGAGGCACAGGAACUUGGUCCAGCUCCUAGGCUAUUGCCGGAGAAAGGGAGAGCUCCUCUUGGUCUAUGAUUACAUGCCCAAUGGAAGCCUUGAUAAACUCCUAUUUCGCAAUGACACACCCAGCCUUAAUUGGGUUCAGCGAUAUCAGGUCCUCAGAGGAGUUGCGUCCGCCCUUCUUUACCUCCAUGAAGAGUGGGAACAGGUUGUUCUGCAUAGAGAUGUGAAAGCUAGCAAUAUACUGUUAGAUGAUGAUUUCAAUGGUCGACUAGGAGAUUUUGGGCUUGCUAAAUUCUAUGAUCGUGGGGCUAAUCCUCAAACAACCUGUGUGGU
RNAcentral lists this long non-coding RNA (14203 nucleotides) under Populus trichocarpa (black cottonwood). RNAcentral describes it as "long non-coding RNA (PTRI_LNC002268)". The record is from RNAcentral. Lineage: Eukaryota; Viridiplantae; Streptophyta; Magnoliopsida; Malpighiales; Salicaceae.